This is a long non-coding RNA of Maylandia zebra (zebra mbuna), 335 nucleotides long. RefSeq lists it as uncharacterized. The record is from RefSeq and is a predicted model, not a curated record. Lineage: Eukaryota; Metazoa; Chordata; Actinopteri; Cichliformes; Cichlidae.
ACCCUUCAGCUGGGCAAGCUGCAUCACCACACGGCACUCAUCCUCAGACAGAAAACCCGGGAUCUCUGCAGAAACACAAAAAGUACAGAUGCAUUUCUGCCCUUUACCCAGUCAGCUGUGAGACCCUAAUUGCAUCCCAUGUGCAAUGGACCGACUUUGUAUAGAGUAGUUGCCUUAGGACUUACUUGCCUAUUUUAUGAGGUCCUAGAUGUAGCACAAUAAUCAGCCCAGUCUGGGUUAUGUUAAGCUACGUGGCUGUGCAGCCUCUUACCAAAAAGAAGCGGUUUCAGGCUCAAAGUCCUCAUCUCGUGAAGUCUCCCUGACACCAGUGACAC